This 916-nucleotide ribosomal RNA is filed under the name uncultured bacterium. Its description in RNAcentral is "bacterial SSU rRNA". It matches the Rfam family "Bacterial small subunit ribosomal RNA", at positions 514 to 1431 of the family's 1533-position model. The record is from RNAcentral.
GCCGCGGUAAUACGUAGNUCCCGAGCGUUGUCCGGAUUUAUUGGGCGUAAAGCGAGCGCAGGCGGUUAGAUAAGUCUGAAGUUAAAGGCUGUGGCUUAACCAUAGUACGCUUUGGAAACUGUUUAACUUGAGUGCAGAAGGGGAGAGUGGAAUUCCAUGUGUAGCGGUGAAAUGCGUAGAUAUAUGGAGGAACCCCGGUGGCGAAAGCGGCUCUCUGGUCUGUAACUGACGCUGAGGCUCGAAAGCGUGGGGAGCGAACAGGAUUAGAUACCCUGGUAGUNCACGCCGUAAACGAUGAGUGCUAGGUGUUAGGCCCUUUCCGGGGCUUAGUGCCGCAGCUAACGCAUUAAGCACUCCGCCUGGGGAGUACGACCGCAAGGUUGAAACUCAAAGGAAUUGACGGGGGCCCGCACAAGCGGUGGAGCAUGUGGUUUAAUUCGAAGCAACGCGAAGAACCUUACCAGGUCUUGACAUCCCGAUGCCCGCUCUAGAGAUAGAGUUUUACUUCGGUACAUCGGUGACAGGUGGUGCAUGGUUGUCGUCAGCUCGUGUCGUGAGAUGUUGGGUUAAGUCCCGCAACGAGCGCAACCCUUAUUGUUAGUUGCCAUCAUUCAGUUGGGCACUCUAGCGAGACUGCCGGUAAUAAACCGGAGGAAGGUGGGGAUGACGUCAAAUCAUCAUGCCCCUUAUGACCUGGGCUACACACGUGCUACAAUGGCUGGUACAACGAGUCGCAAGUCGGUGACGGCAAGCUAAUCUCUUAAAGCCAGUCUCAGUUCGGAUUGUAGGCUGCAACUCGCCUACAUGAAGUCGGAAUCGCUAGUAAUCGCGGAUCAGCACGCCGCGGUGAAUACGUUCCCGGGCCUUGUACACACCGCCCGUCACACCACGAGAGUUUGUAACACCCGAAGUCGGU